CGUCGUCUUUGAAAACCGGUCCAGAUGCGGCAUGACGUAAUAUCGAGAAACGACGUUUAAAGUUGCGCCAAGUUUACGCGCGCAGCUUUCAUACACAUGUUUUAAUUAGCAAAAGUUUGACCGUUAAAGUACGACUGCUUGUUACAUGAUUGAUAACAGCCUACUACAGAAAGAAUAUUUAGACAUCAGACCCGUAAAAAGAUAGUGGUAUUACGCCUGAGGCAAAAUAUUUCGUUCAAAAUCAGUUGUUUCCCCUUCGCUAUGUUUCCGGUUUCGGAAUUUAUCAAGGAAGCAUGUGAAGUUUACUUUUGUUUAACUACCUUUUGUUCAACGAUGAAGGGAUCUGAGACUUGUAAUUCUGUUUAUUGAUUUGAUAAUAUUCCUUGUUCCUUUGAUGGUUCAUUCCACUAUACAGCUGGUUCAUAUACCCUACAACAGCCAGGAAAUUGGUCUGUUUACUUUAAGAUCCCAAGAAAAUGUAACAUUUUGGAUGUGCUUUGAGGAAUCAGGAAGGCAAGUGUUUCCUCUUGUUUAUGAAACAACUCAGUUGGUUAAGGGCAGACAACUUGUGAGCAUGGUACAUCACUACCUGUAUUGGUAUUCCAUUUUGACAAUGCUGCUAGCUAGAAUAGAAAUAACAUCUUGCUGUGGUACGGCCUGUGGAGACUUUUACUAGGAUAUCACAGAUCGAUUGAAUAUUCAACAAUGAUCACAGACCAUGCAAAGUUUGAAUCUGACUUGCACUUUUGAAUUUAGAAGAAUCUGUGGAGGAGGGUGAAUGCUGAGACCUUUAAUAAUACAUGAUAUUGCUGACACAGUGUGUCAGUCAUCAAAGAAAGGUCAUAACACUGCACAGUUGGUCAACAAUGAUUUAAAUCCUGUCACAUUCUACCAGUGGAGAAAUAUCUUAUCGCAAUAUUUUAAACUUUUGAAGAAGUUAACCAAGUAUUACCACUUUAUCAUGUCUGCAGAAACACCUGGAUUGUUAGUGUUAAAAGUGACAGUCCAGUUAACUUACUAAAAUCUACUUCCCCUUGCCAAACGAAUAUUAUUGACAUGGAAUGACACAAGCCUGACAAUGGUACCUGUAUGAACUCAUAAGUGAAUAGUAUUUGUCUGAAAAGUCAAAGGAUUCUGUUUGUCCCAAACCACUUCAACUGAAACUGAAAUUGUGGUUGGUGAGGAUUUUCCUGAGAACUGAAAAAAGGAAGUGAAUGUAAAAGAUAGAAAUUGUUGUUGAAUUCAAACGUUUUAAUAUACAACACUUUAGCCUGUUUUGCUGUU
Mercenaria mercenaria is the source of this 1284-nucleotide RNA transcript. RefSeq lists it as uncharacterized. The transcript has 4 exons. The record is from RefSeq and is a predicted model, not a curated record. NCBI's taxonomy places the organism in Eukaryota, Metazoa, Mollusca, Bivalvia, Venerida, Veneridae.